Molecule: ribosomal RNA, 492 nt
Filed under: uncultured bacterium
Lineage: Bacteria
Description: partial 16S ribosomal RNA
Rfam family: Bacterial small subunit ribosomal RNA
Source: RNAcentral
AGUGAACGCUGGCGGUAGGCCUAACACAUGCAAGUCGAACGGCAGCACAGUAAGAGCUUGCUCUUACGGGUGGCGAGUGGCGGACGGGUGAGGAAUACAUCGGAAUCUACUAUUUCGUGGGGGAUAACGUAGGGAAACUUACGCUAAUACCGCAUACGACCUACGGGUGAAAGCAGGGGAUCUUCGGACCUUGCGCGAUUGAACGAGCCGAUGUCGGAUUAGCUAGUUGGCGGGGUAAAGGCCCACCAAGGCGACGAUCCGUAGCUGGUCUGAGAGGAUGAUCAGCCACACUGGAACUGAGACACGGUCCAGACUCCUACGGGAGGCAGCAGUGGGGAAUAUUGGACAAUGGGCGCAAGCCUGAUCCAGCCAUACCGCGUGGGUGAAGAAGGCCUUCGGGUUGUAAAGCCCUUUUGUUGGGAAAGAAAAGCAGCAGGUUAAUACCCCGCUGUUCUGACGGUACCCAAAGAAUAAGCACCGGCUAACUUCGUG